This 27-nucleotide non-coding RNA is filed under the name Rattus norvegicus (Norway rat). Lineage: Eukaryota; Metazoa; Chordata; Mammalia; Rodentia; Muridae. The record is from RNAcentral.
UGCCUGUGUAUCGGUUUUCCUCACCCC